CACUCCUGCGGGAGGCAGCAGUGGGGAAUUUUGGACAAUGGGCGAAAGCCUGAUCCAGCAAUGCCGCGUGAGUGAAGAAGGCCUUCGGGUUGUAAAGCUCUUUUGUCAGGGAAGAAACGGUGAAAGCUAAUAUCUUUUGCUAAUGACGGUACCUGAAGAAUAAGCACCGGCUAACUACGUGCCAGCAGCCGCGGUAAUACGUAGGGUGCAAGCGUUAAUCGGAAUUACUGGGCGUAAAGCGUGCGCAGGCGGUUUUGUAAGUCUGAUGUGAAAUCCCCGGGCUCAACCUGGGAAUUGCAUUGGAGACUGCAAGGCUAGAAUCUGGCAGAGGGGGGUAGAAUUCCACGUGUAGCAGUGAAAUGCGUAGAUAUGUGGAGGAACACCGAUGGCGAAGGCAGCCCCCUGGGUCAAGAUUGACGCUCAUGCACGAAAGCGUGGGGAGCAAACAGGAUUAGAAACCCUAGUAGUCCCAUGAU
This 476-nucleotide ribosomal RNA is filed under the name uncultured organism. RNAcentral's name for it is "partial 16S ribosomal RNA". It matches the Rfam family "Bacterial small subunit ribosomal RNA", at positions 334 to 801 of the family's 1533-position model. The record is from RNAcentral.